RNAcentral lists this ribosomal RNA (253 nucleotides) under uncultured bacterium. RNAcentral describes it as "partial 16S ribosomal RNA". It matches the Rfam family "Bacterial small subunit ribosomal RNA", at positions 524 to 776 of the family's 1533-position model. The record is from RNAcentral.
UACGUAGGGUGCAAGCGUUGUCCGGAAUUAUUGGGCGUAAAGAGCUCGUAGGCGGUUUGUCGCGUCUGCUGUGAAAACGCGAGGCUCAACCUCGCGCCUGCAGUGGGUACGGACAGACUAGAGUGCGGUAGGGGAGAUUGGAAUUCCUGGUGUAGCGGUGGAAUGCGCAGAUAUCAGGAGGAACACCGAUGGCGAAGGCAGAUCUCUGGGCCGUAACUGACGCUGAGGAGCGAAAGCGUGGGGAGCGAACAGG